AUUGAACGCUGGCGGCAGGCCUAACACAUGCAAGUCGAACGGUAACAGGAAGACGCUUGCUUCUUUGCUGACGAGUGGCGGACGGGUGAGUAAUGUCUGGGAAACUGCCUGAUGGAGGGGGAUAACUACUGGAAACGGUAGCUAAUACCGCAUAACGUCGCAAGACCAAAGAGGGGGACCUUCGGGCCUCUUGCCAUCGGAUGUGCCCAGAUGGGAUUAGCUUGUAGGUGGGGUAACGGCUCACCUAGGCGACGAUCCCUAGCUGGUCUGAGAGGAUGACCAGCCACACUGGAACUGAGACACGGUCCAGGCUCCUACGGGAGGCAGCAGUGGGGAAUAUUGCACAAUGGGCGCAAGCCUGAUGCAGCCAUGCCGCGUGUAUGAAGAAGGCCUUCGGGUUGUAAAGUACUUUCAGCGGGGAGGAAGGGAGUAAAGUUAAUACCUUGACUCAUUGACGUUAACCGCAGAAGAAGCACCGGCUAACUCCGUG
This 490-nucleotide ribosomal RNA is filed under the name uncultured bacterium. Its description in RNAcentral is "partial 16S ribosomal RNA". It matches the Rfam family "Bacterial small subunit ribosomal RNA", at positions 30 to 507 of the family's 1533-position model. The record is from RNAcentral.